AUUGAACGCUGGCGGCAUGCCUUACACAUGCAAGUCGAACGGCAGCACGGGUGCUUGCACCUGGUGGCGAGUGGCGAACGGGUGAGUAAUACAUAGGAACAUGUCCUGUAGUGGGGGAUAGCCCGGCGAAAGCCGGAUUAAUACCGCAUACGAUCCACGGAUGAAAGCGGGGGACCUUCGGGCUUCGCGCUUUAGGGUUGGCCGAUGGCUGAUUCGCUAGUGGGUGGGGUAAAGGCCUACCAAGGCGACGGUCAGUAGCUGGUCUGAGAGGACGACCAGCCACACUGGGACUGAGACACGGCCCAGACUCCUACGGGAGGCAGCAGUGGGGAAUUUUGGACAAUGGGCGAAAGCCUGAUCCAGCAAUGCCGCGUGUGUGAAGAAGGCCUUCGGGUUGUAAAGCACUUUUGGCCGGAAAGAAAUCCUUGACUCUAAUACAGUCGGGGGAUGACGGUACCGGAAGAAUAAGCACCGGCUAACUACGUG
Molecule: ribosomal RNA, 486 nt
Filed under: uncultured bacterium
Lineage: Bacteria
Description: partial 16S ribosomal RNA
Rfam family: Bacterial small subunit ribosomal RNA
Source: RNAcentral